Molecule: ribosomal RNA, 253 nt
Filed under: uncultured bacterium
Lineage: Bacteria
Description: partial 16S ribosomal RNA
Rfam family: Bacterial small subunit ribosomal RNA
Source: RNAcentral
UACAGAGGGUGCAAGCGUUAAUCGGAGUUACUGGGCGUAAAGGGCGCGUAGGCGGUCUUGUAAGUUGGAUGUGAAAUCCCUGGGCUCAACCUAGGAACUGCAUCCAGUACUGUAAGACUAGAAUAUUGUAGAGGGUAGUGGAAUUUCCGGUGUAGCGGUGAAAUGCGUAGAGAUCGGAAGGAACACCAGUGGCGAAGGCGGCUACCUGGACAAAUAUUGACGCUGAGGCGCGAAAGCGUGGGGAGCAAACAGG